GCCCAUUCUCUAGGACCAUGUCCUUGCUGCUCCCAGCUACCUUUCCUGCUUCUCCUAGGCUCAGACUUGACUGUUUUGGACUUGGGGCUGAGCUCCCUGCUGUGCUGCAGGACGUGCUACACAGCCACAGCUCUGCACGUGUGUGUGAGUGCGUUAAGCACAGUGCUGCAAUGGACUUCGGGAACCGUGUGCGCUGCGUGUGCCUCACCAGGGCCCGGCAGUGGGGCCGCGCUUCAGCUGCAGGCUGCAAAGCAAAGCCAGGAGUUAUCUCGGGUACUACUCUGCUGCCACAGACAAACCCGCAGUGCAAUGGUGUUUGCAGGCCUGGAGGUCAAAUCCAGCACUGAGAAGUGGGGCUGAAAGCGCACGCGUGCUUGGUGCAGGAAGGUGGUGGUGCUGAGAAGUGCUGCAGGUCGCAUUAGCGAUGCUUUGGGGAGCUGUGUCGCUUACAGCCCAUCACCGCUGUGCUAAUGAGGAGCCUUGCUCUGAAGUCACCUCUCCUUCAUUAAUUAAGGCUGUUUUGCACGAGGCAGGGAAGAGGAAUUGAGGAAGGGCUCUCGAUGCCGUUACGCUUUCCAUAGAUGUUGCAGAGGAUCCAUUACUGCCCGUGAAAGCCUUGUCAACAUUUUUCCAAGGAAGAAUGAAAAUGUAAAUAACUUCAAAAUGAUUCAAUGUCACCGUGGUAUGGAAAAAGGUCACGCUGCUGGCGACCAUUUAUCUUUGUGCCGAUUUAAAGAGCUUUUUUCCUAUUACAUUUUUUGAAAUUAAUGUUUUUAAACAUUACCCAAAGUAAUGUUAACAAUCACGGGGUUUAUGGGAUUGAUCGCUCUGCGGGCUGGGAUUUAGAUUGGAAAAGAUUUGUUUUAGGCCGCUGUUGCUGGGAGGUGGCUAACAGACUUGGUGAUUUAUCGCUUACAAAAACGUCGGUGUGAUUGAACAGAAAGACGAAACCAGCUCUUGAGUUCCCAAGAAAAUGGGAGGGGAGGGUGCUCCCUGGGAGUGAGUUUGGGUUGAUGGGAGCAGAGCUUGCGUGUGUAAAUGGUGCAGUGUACAAAUGCAAGGCGAGCCCACAGGGAUGGGCUGUUUGCCUGCAGUUCCCCUGCUGGAGGGCAGAUGGGCUGGAGCCCGGGUUUGGCUUACAGAAGGUUUUCUGCUCUUCCACCCAGGAAGAGUUCCAACAGCGCUGAACCUUGGUUUGGGGACGGGGAAAAAAUAGCUGUGCUCUCCAUAGAAACACUUGAC
This 1242-nucleotide long non-coding RNA is filed under the name Numida meleagris (helmeted guineafowl). Its description in RNAcentral is "lncRNA (ENSNMEG00000009667.1)". The record is from RNAcentral. Lineage: Eukaryota; Metazoa; Chordata; Aves; Galliformes; Numididae.